This 359-nucleotide ribosomal RNA is filed under the name Draculoides catho. Its description in RNAcentral is "partial 12S ribosomal RNA". The record is from RNAcentral. Lineage: Eukaryota; Metazoa; Arthropoda; Arachnida; Schizomida; Hubbardiidae.
UUAAUAAAGGAGUAGAAUUAAGAUUUUAUUUGUUUUUCACAAUUAAUUUUGGGAGUAUUGGCGGUAUUUAGUUGAAUUCUGAGGAACUUGUCUAUUUAAAUUGAUAGUACUCAUUAAAUUUUAUCUAUUUAAAAUUUUAUGUAUUGCUGUUUAAUUUAUUGUUUAUUAUUUUUAAUAAGUUUAAAAUAAUUUUUUUAAAAUAAUUCAAGUCAAAAUGUAGAUUUUUAUAGGGUUAGAUGAGUUACAAUUGUAUUAAGGUAUGAAACUGUAAAUUUAGUUGAAAUAUUAAAGAUUUUGAAGGUUGGAUUAGGUUGUAAAAAGAAAAUAAUUAGUUUUUUUGAUAAUUUAUACUAAUAUGU